Molecule: long non-coding RNA, 493 nt
Organism: Erinaceus europaeus (western European hedgehog)
Lineage: Eukaryota; Metazoa; Chordata; Mammalia; Eulipotyphla; Erinaceidae
Exons: 3
Source: RefSeq, a predicted model, not a curated record
CCCUGUGCAGACCACAAGGCAACUCCAAUGAGAAGACCAUAGUAACUUCCCCUCCUGCAGUGAUGACUUUCCUUUCUUAGACCUUGGGGCAGGGCUCUGGAGAGAUGGGGUUCCAGGACACAUUGGUGAGGUUGUCUGCCCAAGGAAGUCAGAUCUCUGCCAGAAAAACACUUGAGUUGAUGGAUAAGCAGACAUUCACAAAACUUCAGCUGGAAUCACAACUCAACCUUGUAGAGAAGAUUCAUACCUUUCAUCCACAAAGAUAGAGGUCCAGAAAGGAAACAUUGCACCUGAUUCCACCCCGGAUUUUAAAGGCCUAGCAUUUGCUAUCCUUGAAAAUGUCCAGGAGCUUGGGGUCAGGUGGUGGUACACCUGGUUAAUCACAUACAUUAUAGUGCACAAGGACCUGAGUUCAAGGCCCUGGUCUCCCCUGCUGGGGAAAGAUUCAUGAGUUGUAAAGUAAGGCUGCAGGUGUCUCUCUCUUUCCCUCUCU